Molecule: ribosomal RNA, 409 nt
Filed under: bacterium
Lineage: Bacteria
Description: partial 16S ribosomal RNA
Rfam family: Bacterial small subunit ribosomal RNA
Source: RNAcentral
UGGGGAAUAUUGCACAAUGGGCGAAAGCCUGAUGCAGCGACGCCGCGUGAGGGAUGACGGCCUUCGGUUUGUAAACCUCUUUCAGCAGGGACGAAGCGCAAGUGACGGUACCUGCAGAAGAAGCACCGGCUAACUACGUGCCAGCAGCCGCGGUAAUACGUAGGGUGCAAGCGUUGUCCGGAAUUACUGGGCGUAAAGAGUUCGUAGGCGGUUUGUCGCGUCGGUUGUUUAAACCAGCAGCUCAACUGCUGGCUUGCAGGCGAUACGGGCAGAAUUGAGUACUGAAGGGGAGACUGGAAUUCCUGGUGUAGCGGUGAAAUGCGCAGAUAUCAGGAGGAACACCGGUGGCGAAGGCGGGUCUCUGGGCAGUAACUGACGCUGAGGAACGAAAGCGUGGGUAGCGAACAGG